Molecule: ribosomal RNA, 277 nt
Filed under: uncultured Pseudomonas sp.
Lineage: Bacteria; Pseudomonadati; Pseudomonadota; Gammaproteobacteria; Pseudomonadales; Pseudomonadaceae
Description: partial 16S ribosomal RNA
Rfam family: Bacterial small subunit ribosomal RNA
Source: RNAcentral
GUCCUUAGUUACCUAGCACGCUAUGGUGGGCACUCUAAGGAGACUGCCGGUGACAAACCGGAGGAAGGUGGGGAUGACGUCAAGUCAUCAUGGCCCUUACGGCCUGGGCUACACACGUGCUACAAUGGUCGGUACAAAGGGUUGCCAAGCCGCGAGGUGGAGCUAAUCCCAUAAAACCGAUCGUAGUCCGGAUCGCAGUCUGCAACUCGACUGCGUGAAGUCGGAAUCGCUAGUAAUCGUGAAUCAGAAUGUCACGGUGAAUACGUUCCCGGGCCUU